This 506-nucleotide ribosomal RNA is filed under the name uncultured bacterium. RNAcentral describes it as "bacterial SSU rRNA". It matches the Rfam family "Bacterial small subunit ribosomal RNA", at positions 29 to 507 of the family's 1533-position model. The record is from RNAcentral.
AACGAACGCUGGCGGCGUGGAUAAGACAUGCAAGUCGAGCGCUGAUUACGGGGUAGCAAUAUUCCAUAGUCGGAGCGGCGCAAGGGUGCGUAACACGUGGGUAAUCUGCCAUGAAGUUUGGAAUAACUCGCUGAAAGGCGAGCUAAUGCCGGAUGUGAAAGCUGGGAGGCAUCUCUUGGUUUUCAAAGCUGGGGACCGUAAGGCCUGGCGCUUCAUGAUGAGCCCGCGGCCUAUCAGCUAGUUGGUAAGGUAACGGCUUACCAAGGCUAAGACGGGUAGCUGGUCUGAGAGGACGACCAGCCACACUGGAACUGAGACACGGUCCAGACACCUACGGGUGGCAGCAGUCGAGAAUUUUUCACAAUGGGCGCAAGCCUGAUGGAGCGACGCCGCGUGGGGGAUGAAUGGCUUCGGCCCGUAAACCCCUGUCAUUUGCGAUCAACCGUUGUUGUUUAAGAGAUGACAACCUGAUAGUAGCGAAAGAGGAAGGGACGGCUAACUCUGUG